RNAcentral lists this ribosomal RNA (478 nucleotides) under uncultured organism. Its description in RNAcentral is "partial 16S ribosomal RNA". It matches the Rfam family "Bacterial small subunit ribosomal RNA", at positions 331 to 800 of the family's 1533-position model. The record is from RNAcentral.
GUACACUCCUGCGGGAGGCAGCAGUGGGGAAUUUUGGACAAUGGGCGAAAGCCUGAUCCAGCAAUGCCGCGUGAGUGAAGAAGGCCUUCGGGUUGUAAAGCUCUUUUGUCAGGGAAGAAACGGUGAGAGCUAAUAUCUCUUGCUAAUGACGGUACCUGAAGAAUAAGCACCGGCUAACUACGUGCUAGCAGCCGCGGUAAUACGUAGGGUGCAAGCGUUAAUCGGAAUUACUGGGCGUAAAGCGUGCGCAGGCGGUUUUGUAAGUCUGAUGUGAAAUCCCCGGGCUCAACCUGGGAAUUGCAUUGGGGACUGCAAGGCUAGAAUCUGGCAGGAGGGGGUAGAAUUCCACGUGUAGCAGUGAAAUGCGUAGAUAUGUGGAGGAACACCGAUGGCGAAGGCAGCCCCCUGGGUCAAGAUUGACGCUCAUGCACGAAAGCGUGGGGAGCAAACAGGAUUAGAAACCCCGGUAGUCCCAUGA